Molecule: ribosomal RNA, 253 nt
Filed under: uncultured bacterium
Lineage: Bacteria
Description: partial 16S ribosomal RNA
Rfam family: Bacterial small subunit ribosomal RNA
Source: RNAcentral
UACAGAGGUCUCGAGCGUUAGGCGGAAUCACUGGGCUUAAAGCGUGUGUAGGCGGAUCGUUAAGUACCUUGUGAAAUCCCACGGCUUAACCGUGGAACUGCUUGGUAUACUGGCGGUCUUGAGCCAGCUAGGGGCUACCGGAACAAAUGGUGGAGCGGUGAAAUGCGUAGAUAUCGGGAGGAACACCAGUGGCGAAGGCGACUACCUGGCCUGUUCUUGACGCUGAGGCGCGAAAGCUAGGGGAGCAAACGGG